UGAAUUGACGGGACCGCACAAGCGGUGGAUGAUGUGGAUUAAUUCGAUGCAACGCGAAAACCUUACCUACCCUUGACAUGUCUGGAACCUUGGUGAGAGCCGAGGGUGCCUUCGGGAGCCAGAACACAGGUGCUGCAUGGCUGUCGUCAGCUCGUGUCGUGAGAUGUUGGGUUAAGUCCCGCAACGAGCGCAACCCUUAUCCCUAGUUGCCAUCAGGUAAAGCUGGGAACUCUGGGGAGACUGCCGGUGAUAAACCGGAGGAAGGCGGGGAUGACGUCAAGUCCUCAUGGCCCUUACAUCCCGGGCUACACACGUGCUACAAUGGCAGGUACAGAGGGCUGCGAAGCCGCGAGGUGGAGCGAAUCCCAGAAAACCUGUCUCAGUCCGGAUUGGAGUCUGCAACUCGACUUCAUGAAGGCGGAAUCGCUAGUAACCGCGAAUCAGCAGGUCGCGGUGAAUACGUUCCCGGGCCUU
This 474-nucleotide ribosomal RNA is filed under the name uncultured Latescibacterota bacterium. Its description in RNAcentral is "bacterial SSU rRNA". It matches the Rfam family "Bacterial small subunit ribosomal RNA", at positions 907 to 1382 of the family's 1533-position model. The record is from RNAcentral. Lineage: Bacteria; Pseudomonadati; Candidatus Latescibacterota.